AUGAAGGUCUCGCCCAUUUGUCCCACUUGCUUUGAGGGCUUAGAAGAUACGAAGCAUAUGCUUUUCCGUUGUAGUAAAGAAAAUGGGGUUUGGGAAAGGCUGGGGAUGGAUGAUAUUAUUGAUAAAGCUUGCGAGAUUGACCAUUCUGGAGAGGCAGUGUUAAAGUACUUACUACUUCUUCCGGGCCAAGGUUUGAGGAUAAUGGAUUACCACAAUGUGCGUGAGAUGAUUGCUGUCUCAGCAUGGUAUUUAUGGUGGGAAAGACGAAAGUUGAUGCACAAGGAGAAAACUCAAAAUGCACUUCAGAUUUCAAUGGGGGUUCUAGCCCUUACCACAAACUUCAUAAAUGCAUUGUCCCCCAAGGCUUCUACGAAGGAGGAUGGUCUUGUCCCCCCAGAGCUUUUGUGA
Molecule: ribosomal RNA, 408 nt
Filed under: Triticum aestivum (bread wheat)
Lineage: Eukaryota; Viridiplantae; Streptophyta; Magnoliopsida; Poales; Poaceae
Description: partial small subunit ribosomal RNA
Source: RNAcentral